CUGGCACAAUGAUGAACACAUAGUUCAGCUGAUUAACACUGAUGAAUUAACUUGUCUUUCGCUCCUAUCUGAUGUGUCAG
Molecule: non-coding RNA, 80 nt
Organism: Xenopus laevis (African clawed frog)
Lineage: Eukaryota; Metazoa; Chordata; Amphibia; Anura; Pipidae
Source: Rfam